RNAcentral lists this ribosomal RNA (430 nucleotides) under Strongylura notata (redfin needlefish). RNAcentral describes it as "partial 12S ribosomal RNA". It matches the Rfam family "Bacterial small subunit ribosomal RNA", at positions 774 to 1405 of the family's 1533-position model. The record is from RNAcentral. Lineage: Eukaryota; Metazoa; Chordata; Actinopteri; Beloniformes; Belonidae.
GGGAUUAGAUACCCCACUAUGCACAGCCCUAAACUUUGAUAGUCAAGUACACCCACUAUCCGCCUGGGUACUACAAGCCCUAGCUUAAAAUCCAAAGGACUUGGCGGUGCUUUAGAUCCACCUAGAGGAGCCUGUCCUAGAACCGACAACCCCCGUUAAACCUCACCCUCCCUUGUUUAUUUCCCGCCUAUAUACCGCCGUCGUCAGCUUACCCUGUGAAGGAUUAAUAGUAAGCAAAGCCAGCACAGCUCAAAACGCCAGGUCGAGGUGUAGCGCAUGAGAGGGGAAGAGAUGGGCUACAUUCCCUAACCCAGGUAAUACGAAAAAUGCAAUGAAAAAAGCAUUAGAAGGAGGAUUUAGCAGUAAGAAGAAAACAGAGUGUUCUACUGAAACUGGCCCUGAAGCGCGCACACACCGCCCGUCACCCUAA